This 787-nucleotide long non-coding RNA is filed under the name Brassica rapa (field mustard). RNAcentral describes it as "long non-coding RNA (BRAP_LNC000687)". Lineage: Eukaryota; Viridiplantae; Streptophyta; Magnoliopsida; Brassicales; Brassicaceae. The record is from RNAcentral.
UUAUAAAGCUGAAAUAAUAGUGGAGUAAUUUAACAUGAUUAUGCGCUUGGAUGAUUGAAAUCAAAAAUGAAAAGUCAGAAAAACUCAUAUACCAUUCAAUCAUUUGUACUGAUUAUCAUUACAUGUUCAUAUUUUUUCAUUAUUGAUAACCUAGCUAGCUAAAAACAAUGCUCUAAAUCUAUAUGGAGUAGAGUAAACAUGAUCUUUUAUACAUAUACUAGGUGAUACCCGCGCCAUGCGCGGAGUGAAUAGAUUAAAUAGAGAUUAUAAUUUUUAAUCUAUAAAUAUUAGAAAGGUAAAAGUUAUAAUCACAAAUAUUUCAUGUUAUAUAAUAAAAGAUUGAAGGACAUUGUGCAUGUUUAUAAAAGAUAAGUUUUGAUUUUUUUUUAACUUGUGUAAUUGGUUAGGUGUAAUUAGAGUAAAUUUUAUGAAAGUAAAUCUAUAAUAAUAAUUUACAACUUGUGUAAUUGGUUAGAUUUUUUAUUUUUUUAUUUUAAACUUGUUUAAUAAUGUUUCUCAAGUAAAUCUCUCAAAUUUCAUGUGUAAUUUUUAAUUAGCCAUGUGAAUUUAAAUAAAUUUAUAGUAACUUUCCUAUAUUAAUCGAAAUCAAAAUGCGUUUGCAUAUAUCAGUUUUCUAUUUUUUGGCUAUUGCAUAAAUUACGGUCAAAUUUAAAUUAGCGAAAGAAAUCAAUUAAAUUAGUAAGUUAUUUUCAUUAAUUUAGCGAUUCGAUUAUUCAAAAGUUAUAUAAUUCAAGUAAAUAAAUAGGGAAUCAAUCGAAGAAUUUAA